RNAcentral lists this long non-coding RNA (226 nucleotides) under Elaeis guineensis (African oil palm). RNAcentral's name for it is "long non-coding RNA (EGUI_LNC046559)". The record is from RNAcentral. Lineage: Eukaryota; Viridiplantae; Streptophyta; Magnoliopsida; Arecales; Arecaceae.
GGUGAUCUCAGAUUGAACGGACACUUAUAUCCAUAUUCUUCGUGAGUUACUCUUGAGAGCAGAGUGCUCAGUAGUUGGUCACAUUCAAUGAGAUAUAUCCCUACGUCUCACUUGCAUGUUAUACCAGUGUCUUCACACUCCUUGAUUAAGAGGACAACCAACGCACAUAGCACACAACAACCUAUACUUAAUAUAACUAUCGUCUUAAUAAUAGCAUAUCAUUUGG